UACGUAGGUGGCAAGCGUUGUCCGGAUUUACUGGGCGUAAAGGAUGCGUAGGCGGACAUUUAAGUCAGAUGUGAAAUACCCGAGCUUAACUUGGGUGCUGCAUUUGAAACUGGGUGUCUAGAGUGCAGGAGAGGAAAGUGGAAUUCCACGUGUAGCGGUGAAAUGCGUAGAGAUGUGGAGGAACACCAGUGGCGAAGGCGAGUCUCUGGACAUUUCCUGACGCUGAGGCACGAAAGCCAGGGGAGCAAACGGG
Molecule: ribosomal RNA, 253 nt
Filed under: uncultured bacterium
Lineage: Bacteria
Description: partial 16S ribosomal RNA
Rfam family: Bacterial small subunit ribosomal RNA
Source: RNAcentral